Molecule: long non-coding RNA, 2407 nt
Organism: Vombatus ursinus (common wombat)
Lineage: Eukaryota; Metazoa; Chordata; Mammalia; Diprotodontia; Vombatidae
Source: Ensembl
AUGGGCCGAAAGAAGAAGACUUUACAUGACUAUGCAGCUGAGUUUACAGACCUGGGGGUAAAACGGCAUGUGAUUGAACACAGUGAGUCUGGGGGCACCUCUGUGGUAGAGACUCUAUACUGCAAAUCCUGUGAGCUGCCCAUGAGGGUGAGGAGGGACCGCAUCCUGGAGCACCUGUCCUCUGGCAGGCAUUAUAGGAACCGUCACCGCAUGAAGCAGCGUGGAGGCCAAACUCCCAUCUUUAUAUCAGCAGCCUCAGACCUGAGUAGCCACCUCCCUGUACAGGUUGAUCCUCCUCCAGCCUUGCUUUCUCAGCCUCCCUAUGUUUUCCCAGGCGUUCCCUGCCUUACCAGUACCAGUGCCAGCAUGGUGCCUUCACCUCCUUCCUACCACAGAGCUUUGCUCCCUGCCCACCUCAGUGCUAUCAGCUCCACAACCAGUGCCGUGCCUGUCAGAGAAGACCAAACUCCAUCUACCUCCACCAACCACCCUUCUGCAUUCACGACUCUUCACGUGAAAAGCCCCGCCGUCCCCUCAGAACAGAAUAGCCAAAGGCUUAUUGUUUCAGAAGCAUCCAGCAGUGUGGCUUCUGGAAGCGGAGUAGGAUGGCUUCUUAGUGAUGGGGCUUUGGGAAGCAGCCUUGGCCUUGCUCUCUUUGGUGUAGGCUCUGGGAACAAGGCAUUGUUUCAGAGCUUAGUGGAAGAAGACAGCUGCUGCCUGCUCUACGUGGUUGAAGAUCAGCUGUCAGAUGUCGAGCAGGCCUUCAGAUCAGACCAUUUGGUGAACACCCGCGUGCUUCGGGAGCAAGAUGCCAACAUUGUACUUAAUGAUCAGCGUGUCUCUGGAGUCAUUAUCUGUUCACCCCCUGAAGCAGCUUCUGAAAUUGUGAUGGGUGCAUUGAGAGCAGGCAAAGGUGUGUUUUGUGAGAAACUCCCUAGUUUGGAUAGACAGAUUGCUGAGAUGUGUUUCGAUGAAGCUAACAGAUGUGGGAAACCAUUAGUCUGUGGAUUCUACAAGCGUUUUGAUCCAGCUUUACAAUUCUUGUACCAGAAAGUCGGUGAGAGCCGCGCGCUAGGGAGGAUACAUCGGAUAGCAGUCGUUAGCAGCAUCUAUCCACCAGCUUCUCCCAGUUUGCUAAGGAAGUCAGGUGGGAUCUUUUAUAACGCUGCUGUGCAUGACGUGGACAUCGUCAGUCUCUUGUUGGGAGAGAGUGUUCCAGACACAGUCUUUUCUUUGGGUCAUGCGUUCUGCUCAGAUGUGGCCUCUUUGAAAGAUGCAGACAGUGUCAUGGUCAGCAUGAAGUUUCCUAGUGGGGCCAUUGUUAGUUUGGAUAUCAGUCAACACUGCACCAAAAGCUGUGACCUGAGAGUGGAGGUUCAUGGUUCUCAAGGAACUUUACGGGUCGAUAAUCAGAAUCCCUUGGGGAUUACUGAGCGUGGAACCUCCGUGUCCAUAUACUCACACACACAUGUCGAUCGGUACCAAGAAGCAUAUAGAGGACUCUUUCGACACUUUCUCAGAACCCUUAAAGGAAAAGAACCCCCAACUGUCCCCAAAGAACAGUUUCUCUGGACCAUUCAGGUGGCUGCAGCAGCUGAGCAAUCCUGGCGGAAUGGGUCAGCUGUCGACUUCAGCAAUGAAGGUUGAGAUAUAAAUGCGAUGUCGGUUAUCAAGAUGGAAAUACUGUGAAGAGGGAAUAACUGACUUAAGUUUUGCUGAAGAAGACAACCUUAUACCUAUUUCCAUUUUCAUUAAUUUAAAAAAAUUAAUUGCAGUGUUUUGUGACUUUAUUUUCACUGGAAACCAUGAGCUGGGAACUUUGGGGAAAUGUGUGUAUAUGGUAAUGGUGUAGCAAGUAAUUUUCUUAGGAUGUUGUAUUAGGCCCAAAAAUGAAGCUUGAAAGGCAUCAUUCUGUUAGUGUGUAUUUUUCCUUGUGUUCGAAGGAGGCAUUUAGGUGAGAAAGGCUGACAUUUUGUUUUUAAAGAACACGUAUGCAUUAUCCAUCCUGAGAAACAUACCAGCCAUUUACUUCCCACACUGUGGCAACAAAACAUGCUUCUGUGAAAAUAGGUUUGUUGCCCCCGCAUGGAUAUGUGGUCUGUUUUGGGGGGCGAGGGCGGGGAGGAAGGAUGGAGUGAUGCUCCUUUUUCUUUUGAGACGGGGUGGGACAAACAGUCUAAGAUAGGGCUCUUUUCCCCCUCAGACAGUCAAAUCUAGAUGAGAUUGUGUAUAAAUGUUACAGAAAAAGAUAGUGCCUUCCAAAAUGGGCCACUCUGCUUUAACUCAAGUUUGGGGUUAUCUUUUUUAUUCUUAUGUCAGACUUACUGCAGAUGUUUUUAUAUAUUUGAAGAUUCUUGUCUGUAAUUUCUCAUAUCCUACUUUUUCAAAUAAAAGUAAGUUUUCUAAC